GGUCAGGGUUCAAGUCGGGGGGCAGUAGGGGUCAAAGAGCAGGGAGGAUGGGAUUGAUUUUCUUCAGUGUCUUUCUGUCCUUCAAAUGUGUUUGAAGUGGUUUUUGUGUGCUAUUGAUGUUUUUACACAACUGUUUUUGUUAAUCUUUUCAGCAUAUUUUCCUUGUUUUUAGGAAAAUUAUAUUUUCUGUAAUUGGCAUCAGAACUUGUUUUAUUUGUUUAUUUAUUGAUCUCGUCAGGUCAACCCCAUUAGAUGAGACACUUUAUUUUCAAGAUCUGAUCUCUUUCCUGUUAGCUCAAUGCGUGGGUGUGAUAUGUCCUUUAGCAUGAGUUACACAGCACUGUAUACUGAUUGGUGUCUUAGAUAAUGUUAUUGCUUGAUCAAACCCCUUCUAUUGGAAUUUGAUCACAUUCAUAAUUAAUUUCAUCAUUAUACAGCCCUAGUUUUGACGCUUGGCCGCCCUCCUCAAGUCUAGAAUAACAAACACAUGACUGUAACUGGGUUCAUUUCUGGGAUUAUGUAUGGGCCAGACUAUGGAGAAACAAUCAUCAAUAAUCUGCUAUGGCGAUAGGCCUAUCUCUAUGUUCAGAGGCAGACCCUCUAUGAGCCCCCUCAUGAUUCUGGGGGGCUGGUGGGGUGUUAUUGCACUGGUGUUUGGGUGAAUACGUGUGUGCUGUAUUGUCAUGUGUUAUGGGUCAGUGAUUUUGUGUUGCUUUGUGUGUGGGAUCAGGCAUUGUGACGUUUCUAAUCCCAGUCACACCGAGGGGCUUGUGCUCUGUGUCCCAGCCGUUGCUAUAACGACAUUGUCAAAUAGUCCCUGUGUCUUGCCACCUCCAUCUCCUUGCUCUAAGACUACAGGCUCCAAAACUGGAAUUAUGGAAGUUGAAAUUGACAUUUCUGCUGGCAUAACAUUUUUGAGAUUUUAUUAAAUAAAAAAAUACAUUUAUUUCUGUCUGUCUGUCUCUCCAUGUCUUGUAGGUUUUGUCUUUUAACCUGUAUCCUGUAUUGAUGAGAUUUAUGUUUAAUCUCAUAACCUGUAUCCUGUAUUGAUGAGAUUUAUGUUUAAUCUCAUAACCUGUAUCCUGUAUUGAUGAGAUUUAUGUUUAAUCUCAUAACCUGUACUCUGUGUUGAUGAGAUGUAGGUUUUGUCUCAUAACCUGUACUCUGUGUUGAUGAGUUGUAGGUUUUGUCUCAUAACCUGUACUCUGUGUUGAUGAGUUGUAGGUGUUGUCUCAUAACCUGUACUCUGUGUUGAUGAGUUGUAGGUUUUGUCUCAUAACCUGUACUCUGUGUUGAUGAGUUGUAGGUGUUGUCUCAUAACCUAUACUCUGUGUUGAUGAGGUAGGUGUUGUCUCAUAACCUAAACUCUGUGUUGAUGAGGUAGGUGUUGUCUCAUAACCUGUACUCUGUGUUGAUGAGGUAGGUGUUGUCUCAUAACCUGUACUCUGUGUUGAUGAGU
Molecule: long non-coding RNA, 1459 nt
Organism: Oncorhynchus keta (chum salmon)
Lineage: Eukaryota; Metazoa; Chordata; Actinopteri; Salmoniformes; Salmonidae
Exons: 3
Source: RefSeq, a predicted model, not a curated record